GCUGCGGUGGCCAAGUGGUUAGAGCGUCUGCCGCAGAUGCGGGAGGUCGCGGGUUCAAACCCCGGUCGGGUCA
Molecule: non-coding RNA, 73 nt
Organism: Potamilus streckersoni
Lineage: Eukaryota; Metazoa; Mollusca; Bivalvia; Unionida; Unionidae
Source: the annotation of a GenBank genome assembly